Long non-coding RNA from Oreochromis niloticus (Nile tilapia), 3970 nucleotides. Lineage: Eukaryota; Metazoa; Chordata; Actinopteri; Cichliformes; Cichlidae. The record is from Ensembl.
AUGCGUGCAGCUUGCACACAGCCAAGGAAAAGCUCAACGUUGUCGGAAACGCUUAGUCACACUUCUCACCUGUCUUCUUGCUCAGGUGAAAAAGAGCUCAAAGUAGCCAAUCAGAAUCCUGAAACAGAGCUAAACAUUAUUAAAGAACUACUAAACGAGUUCAGAGGGCUUCACGAGCUGAGGUUAAGAUGCUUGGAGGAGGACACCACUAGAAGGGGAGAACUCCCACAGAAGAAAGUGGACUUCCUGCAGUCUUACGUGAAUGACCUCACAGACCACAUCCAGGUGCUUGUUCAGACCAUUGAGGAUUUGCAAAGGGGAGCUGGACAGAACCAUGAUCGUGUUUUGGCUGUGUCUGGGGUUGGGUUGAAGCCUUUGUUGCUGGAUGAGGUCACUGGACCUGUGGCUCACAUCCCUCGCAGUGGUUCCGUGGACCAGAUGACGUCUGAGACGGAGGAUGUGAAAAUCCAGCUGCAAACCAAUGACACGAUCGUCUCGGAUCUGGAGAGGGAGCUCGCAGAGAAUAUACAACAAAAGCAAAAGACUGCGACGCAGGUGCUGGAAAGCGGCGAGAGGCUGGUGCACCUGCAGAGCGAGCUGUCUUGUCUGCGGCGGAUCCACGAAGACAACAUGAAGGAGAUUGCUGAGAAAGACAUCUGCAUCACCAAACUGCAAGCUAACAUUCAGCUCCUGCAACAGGAGGGGGCUGACACGCGUGCUCAGUUGGAGGCCAGCAGGAAGCAGGUGGAACGUCAGAGGAGGGAGUUAUCAGAGCUUCACCAGAAGGAGGAGACACUUUUGUGUGAGACCAAGGCCAAAAUGGUGCAUUUGAAAGACAAGCUCCGUGACGGUUUCAAGAGAAGGGCGGAGGAGAAAGAGGCGAGGAUUAAGCAACUAACUGACGAGCUGAAUGGAACGAGGCAAAAGAUACAGAAGAGGGAGGUUAAGAUGUGUACACUGAUGAAGGAGCUCACAGAAAGUAAGGGACAACACUCAGAGUGUCAAAAAGAGUUGCUUCGAAAAGACAGGUCUUUGGAGAAGCUCCGUGAGGAGAGGGAUGAGCUGAGAGUCCUGAUGGAGGACCGAAGCAGAGAGUGCGCACACCUUGACCGGAGCAAAGCCAAACUGGAGGCUGACUUGGCUCUGAGCCAUGAGAAACUCCACACCUCACACCUUGAGGUUCGAAGUAGAGAUGAGUUAAUUCUGCAGCUCAGAGCCGAAAUGAAGACAGCUGAACAGAAGCAUCGAGGAACACAGAAGCAGGUGACAGCUCUGGAGAAAGAGGUAAGACACUUAAACUGCACGAUCAGAGCGCACAAGGAAGAGGCCUGUCAGUUAAGCGAAAAGGUCAGCGAUAUCGAGCACCUUAAAGAGCAGAAGGCGAAAGAACAACAGCAGCUACAAGAGCGGCUCCGUAUUAAGGAGCAACAGGCUGAUGCAGUUGAAAAGAAGCUGAAGAAGGAGAAGGAGGAGGUGGAACUUCUCAAUCAGCAGCUGAAAGAAUCCAAGGAUGAGCUCAAAGAGGCCAAUUUGCACAACCAGGAGCAGAAAGAAACGGCUGCGAUUUUUAAGCAGAAAUACGCCGCAGCAAUAGAGAAGGCGCUCAGGGUGCAAGAGCAUGUGGAACGUCUGGAGGAGGAACUACGAUAUUCACAGGAACAGCUAAGAGAGUCGCAGUUAGCAGCUUCUUCGCUGAAGGAAGAGCUAGCUGAGCUGGAGUGCCGGUAUCAGGAAAAGGUUGGCCAGUGGGAGAGUUCACAGGAGGCUCUUGACCAACUAACAGAUGAACUUCAGGCCAGUCACAACCUGCUAAGAGAGAGCGAACAAAAAGUGGAGCACUUCAAAAACCUGAUGAGAUCUCUUCAGGAGCAGAUGGACACACUCAAUCAGCAGAAGCUUGCUGUGGAGUGUGACCUGCAGCUCUAUCGUCGGAGCCAUUCUCAUUCUGAUGAGGACUAUUUGAAUCUAGGAAGACUCAGACAGCAGCUGCAGAAGCGCUGUGCAGCACAGGUUGAACACCUUGCGGUGUGUGAAAACACUAUUCUUCAGAUGAAGUCAGAGCUGGAGAGACAAGUCCAGGAAAAGGUGGGUCUGAAACAAAGUCUCGCUGCUUCCCAGCAAACUCACCGGAGCAAUCAAAAACAGCUGGAACAGGAAGUGAUUCGUACAAAACAGGAAGUGGCAUCCUUAGAGCUUGAACUGGCGAACACCCAAAAGGUGCAGGUGGCACUCCUCAGGCAGUCAGAUGAGGCCAGACAAGAGUCUGCAAGAAAGAGCCGAGAGGUGGAUGUGGAGAGAAGAAAGGCCCAGAUGCUUCAGGAGGCGUUACACAAGGAGCAGGAGAAGCUGCAGAGUGCUAUCAGAGAGAAUGAGACCCUGAGCACUGUCAUCGGAAAGCUGAGGAAAGAGCUGGAGGAGCUGCGCAGCAGUCACCGAGUGACAGUGGAGGAGUUGGCAGCCCGUGCAGAGGAGGUGAGGCGGAUGGAGGGGUGUCUGAAUGAAGGCAAGCUAGCAGAGGAGAAAAUAAGGUCAAUGGCUGCGGGGCUGAAGAAGGAGCUGACAGAGGCUGUCCAUCAGAAACUCACAGCAGAGAGAGAGAAACAGGAUGCACUGGACCAGGUGAUCACGCUCCGGUCAGAGCUGGAGGGGACGCGGUCCGACAAUGCAAAGCUUCUGCACGAGAGCCAGCUGGUCAUGACUAAUGUCAACCUUUGGAUCACUGAGCAAAAGGCUUCCAGUGAGAGCGUUAUUGCCCAGAUUAAAGCCCAAAACAAAGCUCUGCUCAUCAUCACUAAAGAGAAAGAAUGUCUUCAGGAGGCUAAUGACACACUGAAGGCGGAGGUAAAGAGACUGAAAGAAGCGGUGGAUGAGAAGGAGAAAGACAUGGAACUCUUCAAGGCCCGUCUCCGGGACUGGGGAGUACAGCAAGAAAGGAAAACCAUGGAAAAGAAGGGGUGCGUUGCUCUAAACCUCAGCAAAAUCGAGGACAUGCAGACCAGACUGCAAAGCAACCUGGAGGCCAUCGGAAUGCUAAAUCAACAAUUAGGCAAUCUCAGUCAGGAGAAUAAGCAGUUGCGUAGGCAGCUGGAAGAAGAGAGGUCCAUGCAUAGACAAGUGGAGAGGAGUGGGCCCCUUCCUCCUCCCUCUACAACCGCCAUCCACCUCCCACUCUCUCUCAGUGUCAGCCCUCCUAUCUGUGCCUCCCUUCCCUCAUCCCAGGGCCUGCCUCGUCUUCUGAGCAUAGUCCCAGUGACAGGGGACACUAAUGGGACUCAAACCAAGCCGAGUACAGUCGGAGUAGAGAGACCAGCUGAUGGUCUGACAGAAAUAGAAGGGGCGUCAAGAGUCACCACGGCAGACAGAUCGCUUCAGGCUGUGGCACACACCACCUGAACUGCCUGCGCAUGUAUGCUUGUGUGUAUGUGUGUGUGUAUGUGUGUGUGAGCAUGCAUGAUUUUGUUGUACAGCCAUUAAAGCAUACUAUCAAUCAAAAAACAUCAUUAAAGUUUGUAUUUUAAAUAAAUGAUUUUAUUAAAACAUAAUUACUGAAGCACUGGUGUAAUAUAUAUUAUUUCCAGUAAAGGACAGGAGGGUGUGCGCUCGCCACACAUCAUGGUCCAGCUAAUUCUGGGAGAUUACAUUUGGGUCAUUUUGAAACAGCUCUCUUGUGGUAGUUUUGUAGCAGAAUAAUUUAUCAAAACAUUUUAUGCUGUCCCCCAAUUGAUUGUGACCAGCACUAAAAGAUGCAAUACUUAGGCAUGCAGUAUGCAUGAAAUUAUGCUAAUGCAUAACACUAGCGUUCAUAUGCAUCUGCAUAUUGAUAUAUACAGUAUCUUUUACCUGAUUACAUUAAAUCUAAUAAGUGUAGACAAACACCGAGUGAUUCAAAAUAGACAUAAAAUACAGAGCACCUGCCUUUUCCUUAUUGCGCUUUUUAAUAUAAUAAAGUAUAUAUGUGAUAUAUAGUAUA